Oxyura jamaicensis (ruddy duck) is the source of this 8674-nucleotide RNA transcript. It is a transcript of the gene named NIMA related kinase 7, with no coding region annotated. NCBI's taxonomy places the organism in Eukaryota, Metazoa, Chordata, Aves, Anseriformes, Anatidae. The transcript is spliced from 12 exons. The record is from RefSeq and is a predicted model, not a curated record.
UUUACGGGCCCGGCAGGAGCGGCGGGGGGCGGAGAGCGGCUCGGGGCCGCGGCGUGUGCCCGAGGGGCCGGCGGGGAGCCCCGCUAGGCGGCCGGCACGGCGCGGCUCCGCUCAGCUGCAAACAUCUGUGCAGAGCUGAUGAGCUUGUGUUACCUUGAAAGGUCUCCUGGGAAAAGUCAAACGGCAAUAACCUCUCCUGUACCUCCCAGGGAAUCUUCUGAUUGUUUGGGGCUUACCCAGGAAUCCUUCCUGAUCCCCAGGACAGAAGGGACACUUUUGCCUGGUAGAAUGGAUGAACAGCCACAGGGCAUGCAGGGGCCCACUGCUCCGCCCUUUCAGCCACAGAAAGCCUUGCGACCUGACAUGGGCUAUAAUACCCUUGCCAAUUUCCGAAUAGAGAAGAAGAUUGGUCGUGGACAGUUCAGUGAAGUUUACAGAGCAACCUGUCUGUUGGAUGGGGUACCAGUAGCACUGAAGAAGGUUCAGAUAUUUGAUUUAAUGGAUGCCAAAGCCCGUGCUGACUGCAUCAAAGAAAUAGAUCUUCUAAAGCAACUGAAUCAUCCAAAUGUAAUUAAAUACUAUGCGUCAUUCAUUGAGGACAAUGAACUGAACAUAGUCUUGGAAUUAGCUGAUGCUGGAGAUCUUUCUAGAAUGAUAAAGCAUUUUAAGAAACAGAAGAGGUUGAUUCCUGAGAGAACAGUUUGGAAGUACUUUGUUCAGCUUUGCAGUGCAUUGGAACAUAUGCAUUCUCGUCGUGUUAUGCAUAGAGAUAUAAAGCCAGCUAAUGUGUUCAUUACAGCUACAGGGGUAGUAAAGCUUGGAGACCUUGGACUUGGACGAUUUUUCAGUUCCAAAACCACAGCUGCUCACUCCUUAGUUGGUACACCUUAUUAUAUGUCUCCAGAGAGAAUACACGAAAACGGUUACAACUUCAAAUCUGACAUCUGGUCUCUAGGCUGUCUGCUGUAUGAGCUUGCAUUUUUAAUAUUCUGUUUAAGAUGGCUGCACUGCAGAGUCCCUUCUAUGGUGAUAAAAUGAACUUGUACUCCCUGUGCAAGAAGAUAGAACAGUGUGACUAUCCACCUCUCCCUUCAGAUCACUAUUCAGAGGAAUUGCGACAAUUAGUUAAUAUGUGCAUCAACCCGGAUCCAGAGAAGCGACCAGACAUAACCUAUGUCUACGAUGUAGCGAAACGUAUGCAUGCACACACUGCGAGCAGCUAAACAGGCAUCAGAUCAUGAAGAGCAGAAAUAUUCAAGUAUUUUAAAUAAAUCAUCCCACCUCUUUGUUUGUGUUACAGAAAUGUAAUUAUUUGAAGCUUACUAUUGUGCUUUGUAAACCAAUUUAUAUACAAGCUGUCAUUUUUUUUUUAUUAUUAUUUUUAAGCAAUUUGCAGUUUUAAGAGGUUUAAAUAUGUAAAGCAUAACUUUAAAAGAUACAAAGAACCACUUUUUUCCAUGUUAAGUGGGUUCAAGUGUAUUUUCUUUACUAACUAAAUUUCAUUCAGUUGGGCCUCAGUUCUAAAACACAAUUGCACUUUUGCACAAGAUACAGAUAUUAGGCUUAUUAUCUAAAAGCAAAAUGUCUGAAUCUCUCACCUUUUUAGUAAUUUAUAGAAAGUAUGAAUCAGCACAGUUAAGUUUAUUUUAAUCUUUGUUCUAAAAGGGAUAUAAUUAUUAUAUAAGGUUAUUGUAUUUUAUACUGAGUUGUAGUUUGUAGUUCUCAGCUUAAGAGGAGACGGACGAUAUGAUGGGAAAAUGGUUAUUGGAAAAAGCCUUACACUGAAGUUUUUGUAACAACCUUUUUCCUUUUGUUAUUCUGUCGUAAUGCACAUAAAACAUUUGUUGGAGGUUUUAUGGGAAAAUUUAAGGUGUUGAUUCUGCAAUUUGAUCAUUUUCAAUAGCCUUGUGCCGCACUGCCCUGGGGCAAUACUAGUCUGCAUAGUUAAGUCUUAAAACCAUGCAGAUGCUUCUUGUAGCAAAUAGCGUUCUUUUGAGGCUAGUAUAUAUGACAAGAUCUGAUUAAAAGAUGUGAUCAUUUAAGUUACAUCUUCCUGACUAUUUAUGUAUAUGUCACGGUUUGUAGAUUUUUUGUAUUUAAAAUGAUUUGAAUGACCUUACAGUACUAUAUUUAAAUGGAAAGAUGCUUUUUAAAUACUGAAGCCUUUGGGAAAAGAUAUAGUUGUGUACUAUAACACAAAAUAUAUUCUUCAUGAAGAUCUGAUUUUGUAUAUUGAAUCCUGAGAAGUAGUUUUAUAUCUAGCAAAAGUAAAUUUUAGCUUCUGUGUUUAAGAGAAAGUCACCGUUUUCAUCUGGGAAAUAAGUAUUUAUGCAAAAUGUCUUACAAGUAUUUUAGUAUUGAAAAGGAGAUUCACAGUAUUUUGGUUAAACCUUAAUGCAUUGCGGGGUAUGUUUAAUGUUUUUAAUGUUAAGGGGAAAAGGGUGUCUUCUUUCUAAAUAUGAUAAAAAUGGAGAAUGGUCUGAAAUUUCUUGAGUUUCAAGACUGAAUUUUUUUGAGAAUAUAUAAAACUGUCAAAAUUAUUACCAGUGAGCUUGCUAAGAAGCUGUUACAGUCAGUUAAACAUUUUCCUCUUAUAGGUAAAAGAAGUCAGUUUAAAGAAGAUCAGCAGUAUGUACAUUCACACAUUGCUUCUGUAUGCAGCCAGUUCCCUGUGCACUUUUUUUUUCACUGUGCAACUUUAAAUUUUUUGAUCUAUUGUAAUGCUCAAGGAAUCCGGCUACGGAGAAUGUACUCAUGUACAUUCUGAGUUAGGUCAGUUGUAUUAUUAUUACUUUUUUUUUGAAUUAUAAAUACUAAGGGAAUUCUGUGUGGCAAAAUGGAGUAGUUAUUAAAUAGUAUGUGUCAGAUCCUCAGUUUAUCUUAAUACACAAUUUUUACUUUUAUCUCAAGUUUUUGUAGGACACAUCCUUAGUUUUCCUUCUAGCUGCCAUGUAUACUUGAUUUAAUCUUGUAGGACUUCAGUGGUACAAUUCAUAGUAAGGAAGCAUUUGAGAAACCUUGGAUCAUAUCUAAGAGCCUCUAUAUUUGUUUUCCUUUAUUUUCUGGUUGUUGAAUUUUAAAAAAUGAUGGAUAUAUUCUAGACCAGGUGUCAUAGUGAAAUGGUUUGUAUUGGAAACGGCAGCAAAAUACUUGCUUGACUGCCAGGAUUAGUUUUUAAUAUGCAGAGGUACUCAAAUUGUUCCUUACUGAAGUGGUCUAGAACAUUCAAAAAUCACUGUAAGAAAACCAAACACAAUCAGGCUAUUUGCAUCUAAUAUUAUGCAUAAAGUAUUUCCUCUUUUCCUGAAAGUAACCAAUAACAUUUUUUUCUGCUUGUCUGGAAGGACGCACUGACUAAAGAAAUCAUGAGUUAGCAAAUGUGUGUACUUAAGUGUAUAUUUUUUUUCUAGUGUUGCUAAUGAAAUCUUGUGCUGAGUAAUAGAAGUAGUUGUUUCUAUUUUAAAAUCUGUAAAAUGGAUGGUACAGGUGACUUGGGUACCAAACUUUUGGGUACCAAACAAGCCUGUAUGGGUUCGUAGAACUGCUUGUAUAACUGGGGGUUGUAGAACCUAUUCCCCAGGUAAAGCACCUCAUAACACAGGAAAAUGGUAAUGUCUGUUAUAACACUUCCAUGUGUGCUAUACAUUUUAUAAAGUGUUUUCCUUUAUAAAGCACCCUUCUAUUUUUUCAUAUGUCGUUGAAGGUGAUAUUUGGCACUAUUUAUUUUAAGCUAUGGCAUUACAUGUUUCUUUUCUUUAAAAUGAACGUGUUAGGUUUCGAACCAAAAUGUCUGACUAGCUUCCCCUUUAUUUCGGUAGUACUCCAGGAUUAGUGUGCUUCACGAGUGGACUUUGUGCUUUGAAUGACAUCGCAUUACAGUAUGUCUUCUGCCUUGAAAGCUUCCCUGCUGUGCAAUAGCCUAAUAGAAAUAAAGCUACAGAUAGCAACUAUAAUGUAAAAAUAAUGUAAAAAUAAUGUAAAAAUAAUAGUUCUUCUAUGAUAUUUUUCAAACUUUUCUUAUUACAGAUAUAUAUGUUACAGUAGAUGCUACCUGUCUUGUGGACACUUUACUGUAUCCAGUAUUGAAUUAUAGGUGAGUGUUCCUGACUGUAACGAUAGAAAGUACAUUCAAAAAAUGAUUUUCAUACCAUUUGUCAAAAAUUGUAUCUAGAAAUACUACAUCAGAUAUAUUCACAACUAACUCAAGAGUGCUUUUAGAUAAAAUUGAAAUCUAAAAUUACUCUCAAACAAUAUUAAAAAAACUAAAAAUCAUAAAAAUAGAGAAGAGCUCCUAUUUAUGACCUCAGUCUUGUGAGCUCUUGUUUAUAGAUAGCGUUUUUUGUAGAAUUUCAGUAAUUUUGAGUGAACGUUGCAUACUCACAAUGAAUAAAUUGGAAUCAGUAGGGUAUAUAUAUAAAGGAUAUGCUCAGCUCACUUUUUGGACUUUGUAUGUCACUGUUUUGGUAGCACAGACUAAUGUAUUUUUCCCCUCUUCUGUUACAUUUUAAUGAUCCAGCUACCAGUUGUAUAAGCAGGCAGUAGAAGUAGGUGUUCUUUCUGUAAUGAGCAAAAACUUUAAAACCAUGCCAAUACCCAGGAAGAUGAAAUAUGGUAUUAGAUGUGUCUGAGCAGGCUGGUGUUUUAUUCAUGCUCAGGAUCAAGAAAGCCAUAAAGGGUGAAAUUCUUGACAGCCUUGGAAAAGGAACAGGACUUGUUGUGCCAGCGGUUCUCAGAUAGCUCUGAAUGGGACCCAGAAUUGCACUGAUGUUUGUUUUUCAGUUUACCGUCCACCCAGUCUCUGUCUUGGCUGCUGUACAGUGAGAUGAGAACCUCAAUGGCUGGAUUUGAAUGCCAGUGGCAAAUGGUGUGUCACAUACGUGGGGGUUUAGGAACAGGAGGUUGAUGUGAGGGAGAGUCAGUGAAGGCCUUCAGCUCCUGCUUUGCAGAGCACUUACUUAAUCAGGAAGUAAAGGUGCUGAACAGUAGUUUUAAAUCACUGCGGUCCCAUUAUUUUUAAUACUGUUUUAAUAGUCUGAAAUUUCUGCCAUAUCCCCCUCAUCACCUAGUAGCCAAUGCCAGUGCUGGACUUCUGGAUUUCUGAUCUCUGGUUUGGUCUGGGUGAAUAGUUAAACUUUCUGCCAAGAUCACCUAAGGGGGGAAAUACCAAUUCUAGACAUGCCCAGUGAUGUGCUUCUUAUAUUUCUGAGCAUGAUUCAAUGGGGAUUUUUAAGGUUCUUUUUCAAACUUUACUCCCUUCCCUGAGCCGUGCUCUUUUUUUUUCCCCCUAAUUGUCAUAUUCACUACUGUUUGUGUCUUCCCUUGCCUCUGCUUCAUCUUUCCUGGUGUCUCAUCUACCCUCUUCCUGAUCUGAAGUCUUCUCUGACUAGUUUUCCUAGUGGCUGUUCAUUUUUUUUUUUCUUUUUUUCUUUGUGACUUUGCUAAACUCUGCCUAUUCCUGUCUUCUCAAAUUUUAUUCUUCACCAUACGGAAACCCAGUUUUUUUCUUCUGAUAAGUACUUAACUCCAUUGUUCUUCGUUCUGUUUUUCCAGCCUCCACCUUUGAUUUCUGGUUUUAGACAGGCUUUCUCACUGCCUCAAUCAUUCCCAUGACCUUGUCUUUACUAAGUACUGUUUGCUUUAUUAUCUCUCAUUUUAAAAUUCCCUUUCUCUGAUCACUACCUGCUCUCUUUCAGCAUAUCUGUCUUUCUCUCUCCUCUACCCUGUCACUCACUCCUUUUGGGAUCUCCAGUCUAUUAACCUUUCUGACUCCUUUACUCUUCUCAGCUGUCUCCUUCCUUCAUUGGCCUUACCUCCUUUGACUCACUGGUCUUUAUUUUCAUUGCUGUCUGCUUCUCUAUAUGUGGUUUCUUUGGUUGCUUCUCACACUGCUCUGUCUGUUCCUCUCCCCAGACGUCUUGUAAUUUCUUAAUUUCCAAUUCUGCCUUUCUGAAUAUCUUUGAAGAAUGGCAGCACAACAAAGCUUUGGACUCUGCUCUGCUUUACCUGUUUUAAUUCUCCUUCCAGAUGGACUUUGUAACCACUUCCAUUCAGUAUUUUUUCUUUCUCGUUGAGCUUGCUUCCAGGUUUCCUUUUCAUUUUAGUUCUCCAUCCACUUUUGACACAAAAUGUAUCUUCAAACCUUGUUUUUUAUGUGACAAGAUCUAAUUUCUUUGAAAUUGUUCUGCUUUCUCAGAAUCUGUGUCUAAACCAGGCCUCUCUGCCUCUUACCUGAAUGGGUUCUACCCCUUUUCUUUCUGUAUAUUUGGUGCAUUUCUCACUCCUUUCUUGACUGACUUCCUCCUCUUUAAAUCCUCCUCAUUUCCUGUUCUCACACCUCUCAUUGCCUUCACUAGCAACCAAGUUUCUGUUUUCCCCCUGUCCUGAAGUGGGGUAGCACCAGUCAUCUUAACUGGUUUCUGUUUAACAUUGUGCCCUUUAUUUCCCAUUUAGCAGCCCCUCACUUUAUGUACCUGAACAUCCUUCUCCUCUUUUGUUUUCAAGUCUUUUGUUUUACCCCGCAAUUUAAAUGCCCCAAAGAUCCAGUGCUCCCUUCCCCAGUUUGGUUCUUGCGUGCUUCCAUCUCCAGUUGAUUUCUUGAGUAUCCAGGCACAGUCUUAGACCUGUUGAUGCAAAGAUCUCAUUUUUAUUCCCAACUCCCUCCAGACUUUUUCUUACAUCCCUGACAAUUUUACUUGCCUCUCUAUUUUCCAGGGCCACAACCUUUCUCUCUCUCUGACAUGCCUGCCUAUCAGAUGUCUCAAAGUUAGUAAUACCAGAUUCUACCCCUCUUCGCUGUCCAUGUACUUCCUUUUAUCUUCACUGUUUUAACCUCUCUGUCAGUUUUGACUUCUUUUCCUCCCUUCAAAGUACCAAAAUUGACAGGAAUAAACUACUGUCUUUGGGCUUUCGUUGUUUGAUGUGCUGAAGAAGGAACUCCACCAAAUUACUGCUUGUUUUGUGUUUUUAAGGUACUUAAAUUCCACAAAUUUCAUCCUAUUUGAGGACUUCAGAGCUGGAGUAGAUUCUGUUCCUCCAAGCACAUCAAAGGUUCUUGAAUUUGGGCCACAAUUUGAUUUUCUACCCCUUCAGCUACAGUUCUUAUCCUUCAUUUCUUCGUUUAUUUACCUUAUGUAACUUUUCUUGUUCUUUUUCUGCAUUUACAGCUAACAGUUUUCUUGUGUUAAAGCAACUUGAUUGCAAUGCUUGUACCUUUGUUUAAAGUAAGAAUGUUCUUAAGAGUGUCCCUGGCUGGAUUUGGUGUUUGGCGUGACGCUCCUCUUUGUUACUGUUCCACCCCUACAACUGAUUUCUCUCAUUUGUUGCCUUUGCACCUUGCCUAACUGAAGAUACGCUACGUUACACUGCAGGAUAGUGGGCAUAAACUUGAGCCAGCUGCCAACGAGCUAGCUUGUUUGCUGCAUUGUUUUCUGUCUGUGUGCACUGUUUGACUUCCCAGUUUUUACAGGCUUUCAGACUUAGAAGACUUUGCAGAGAUGCACUGGUGAUCACAGUGUCUGACCUUUGAUUGCUGCUGGUUACUUUAUCCUUAUACAUCUAUUGAGAUUGAGAGGCAAAAGCUAUGUUAUGAAUUUUCCAUGAAACUAAGAAGUCAGGAGUUUUUUUGACUGUAGGAUAGAGCUGGAUGUCAGUCAGGUUGUGAAUUUGCACUAGACUAAUUUCUUUGAGAGGAUCAGUUGCCAGUUGGCACAAAGUAAAUUCUUUAAGUGUUUCAUGUUUAUUGUUUGUUGUCAGUUUGUAUAAGUCAUACAAAUGUUGAAUUUGUUCUUCUACAACUGCCUUAAUGAUGCAUGGAGGCCUUAACACCUUUUGUUUGAUAGAAAUCUUCUGUUGAUAUGGAAAUUAAAAAAAUAAGAAAUUAGGUACAUUGAGUUCUUCUGCUUGGUUUCAUUUGCUUUACAUUUAAGUCCUAGCAAUAGAAGUCUCAAACUGGACAGAAGUGGUCCCCAAGACAGAGUAGAGAUGUGCUGGAGUUCCCUGCUUCCUCUCCACCUUCUAGCUGCCUUUAAUAUAUGGUGUUGACAGUUUCUGUACACUUCAUUGGUGGUUGUUUCUUUGAUUCCAGUCACGCUGGACCAUUGUAAAGAUGAUCCUGAAUGAUGAGUAUUGCAUUUACCAGUAUAAGAUUUUGUUGGGAGAUGGGAAGAGGAAAGGUUCAUUGAUUUGUUUGAAUUUGGCUGGUGAUUGUUUGAAGCAUAAAUUGUAGAAGCGUUCGUGUUGGGAGGGGCCUUGGGAGAGGUCUCUAGUCCAUCCUCUUGCUAACAGCAGGGUCAAUGCUGAACUCAGAACAGGGCUUAGGGCUUCAAACAGUUGGAUCUUGAAAACCUCCAGGGAUGGAGAUUGUGCAGCCUCUCUGGGCAGCCUGCUGAAUGCUUAGCUCGCCUCACUGUAAGCCUCAUUUACCUUUUGUUCAGUCAGAAACUUCCCAGGUUCAAAUUAUGGCAGUUGUUUGUUCCCAUACCACUCCUCAAAUGCUCUUUGUAUUAUAAAAAAGGUAAGUCAGAUAUUGCAAUGAAGAACUGAAGAUGUUUUAUUUUCCCAAACUUGUUGCAAACAAAUAAAUAUGUUCUUGUAGUACAUAUGUAUCAUCUAUGUGACAUGUAUGCUAUAUUCAUUUAUUAGAGUGUAAAAUAAAAUUUUUGUCAGUAAAACUUAA